CCUGCUCAAUAUUAUACAAUAGCCGCUUUAUAGUGCUAAGGUAGCAUAAUAAAUUGUCCUUUAAUUAAGGAAUAGAAUGAAUGGGAUAAUGAUCUAACUACUUUAUUUAUAAUAUUUAUAAAAAUUAUCUUAAAAGUAAAAAGACUUUUAAUAAUUAGUAGGACGACAAGACCCUAUUGAACUUAUACUUAAAGUUUUACUGGGGCGGUAAAAACCUAAAUCUUUAAUUUUUAUCAAAUAAAAGCUAAAAAAUAGAAAUAAAAUCAAGUUACCAUAGGGAUAACAGCGUAAUAAUUUGCUAAAGUUCCCAUAAAACAUAUUGAUUACGACCUCGAUGUUGAAUUAACGUUCCACCUAGCAGAAAAUUUCUAGAAAGUAAGUCUGUUCGACUUUUAAAACGUUACAU
Molecule: ribosomal RNA, 406 nt
Filed under: Theotima sp. 468 FL-2019
Lineage: Eukaryota; Metazoa; Arthropoda; Arachnida; Araneae; Ochyroceratidae
Description: partial large subunit ribosomal RNA
Rfam family: Bacterial large subunit ribosomal RNA
Source: RNAcentral